This is a long non-coding RNA of Gavialis gangeticus (Gharial), 525 nucleotides long. RefSeq lists it as uncharacterized. The transcript is spliced from 3 exons. The record is from RefSeq and is a predicted model, not a curated record. NCBI's taxonomy places the organism in Eukaryota, Metazoa, Chordata, Crocodylia, Gavialidae.
UCCAUCGGUGGCCUACAGAGCACCCUUUCCAUCUGCAGCAGCUAGAAGGUGUGCAGCCAGGUAAUUCAGCACAAUAGCUCCCGACCACCAUUUGCUUGCUGAUCUAAGGGGGCACCAGUAACUUGUCCCCCAUAUGGCUUUGUGAGGCAGGGCAGGAGAGAGUAAACUGCAUCUGCCAUGAUAAAGCAGGGUCAUGGCAAUACCCUGGAUCACUGCACUGGGGAGCCUGAGCUCAUAUAAUCCUUUUUCCAUCAUCCCAGGCAGUGACAAAUUUCAAAAGACACACAUUGCAAGUGCUGCCUGCCCAACUUGCAUAAAUGCUAGUGAAGCAUCCUUGCUGAUCAACCACGGCUUGGAAGAUCACUGAGGCAAACCCCUUCCUGUUGAAGAAUGACUGGCUCUCCUGGGAUAGGGAUAGGACUGAGAUGUGUGGGCUAUUCAAUGCACCCAUGCAGUUAGGGAACCCCAUGGCCUGGAAGCCUUCAACAACUUCCCUGGGGUUUUGGAGACAGAUGAAGUCAUUUG